Molecule: long non-coding RNA, 405 nt
Filed under: Homo sapiens (human)
Lineage: Eukaryota; Metazoa; Chordata; Mammalia; Primates; Hominidae
Description: non-protein coding lnc-RELL1-5:2
Source: RNAcentral
GUAAAUUAUUAUCUACUCUUGCACAAAAUAAAUCAAUCAGCUCUACAAUCUAUUGCUCCAGAAGAGUUCAUCUUUUGCCCUAGUCCAUUUCCUCUUGCACUGCUCCAGGCUGGAGAAGAAUUCGGUGUAGCAGCUUCUGAGAAGUUGAAGGAGGGGCCAGGCAGAAACUGUCCUAGAGUAAGCACUGAGGGGAGCAAUGCACUUGGCAUACUCAGAGCUGAAACACUUCCAGUGGAGGUCACCUGCAGCCACUGGCAGCCUUAUUUGCAUUUUCUGAAGCCCCCUCUUUUCCCCAUCCUUGGAGUCAAGGUACAUUUACCUGCUGAGAAGUCAGAAGUCUCCCUCUGAUGCAACACAUGUGGCAUUUUCUGAAGCUGAUAGUGUUCAUGGAAAAGGGCAAAGAAU